CUUCAAGUGCCAUAGGAGUUCAGGGGAGAGAGGUUGCCUCUGACUAUGGUGAUCUUAGACCUGAUGAAUGCUUCAUUCAAGCUGAUCAUGAAGGAUAGGAAGAAUUUCGACAGGCAGAACAAAUGGGGGAACAGAAGAUGGGGAAGAUAUACCAGGUAGUGGGGAAAAUACUAAAGACUGGAGAUGGAGCCCUUUGGUUUUGUCUGGUUUGCCAGGGAAGUGACUUCUCUUCCGUAGAAGUGGUACAGAAAGGAAGCAUGACUAUGAAUGCUCUUCACACGUGCUAUUGCAUUCUCUGAAGAGAAGGCUCAGCCUGCUCCGUUCCUAUUUGCUCUUCUCCCAGGGUAACAAAAUGGCUAAAUGUUCAUAGCCUAAUCCCAGGAACCUGGUAGGGCAAAAGAGACUUUGCAGAUACCAUUAAAACAAAGGCCCUUACAAAAUUGUCCUGGAUUGUCUGGGGAGCCAACCUAAUCACAUGCUUCUUUAAAGCCACAGAAGCACUUCCAACUGUGUUCAUAGGAAGAUGUGACAACAACAGAAUGGUUAGAAGAGCACAAAGUGAGAAGGACCGGCCCCACUCUUGCUUGCUGUAAGGAUGGAGGAUGGGGCCAUGUGUCAAGGGAUGUGGGUAGCCUCUGGAAGAUGGAAAAGGCAAAGUAACUGAUUUCCCUGUGAAGUUUCCAGGAAGGAAUGCAGACGUGCUGAUGCCUGGAUGUUAGCCAAGGGACACUCAUGUGCUUGGUACAUUGGAAUCACCAAGGAAGUGCUUCUUCGAUCGAACUGAAUCCUCACACAGCCCUAUAAGGACACAGUAAUAGCCGCACCAUCCUUUCCCCCCUGCAAGACUGGACUUUCUGUAAUGAGGGCUGUGUCAAGGAAAACAUCUUAGAAAUUGGACUAUCUAGAAAUCUGCUAGCCUUCCAGCCUCUUCAUUAUCAUAACCAUCUCCAACAUCCACAGAC
RNAcentral lists this long non-coding RNA (962 nucleotides) under Heterocephalus glaber (naked mole-rat). Its description in RNAcentral is "lncRNA (ENSHGLG00100050881.1)". Lineage: Eukaryota; Metazoa; Chordata; Mammalia; Rodentia; Bathyergidae. The record is from RNAcentral.